Long non-coding RNA from Ostrea edulis (European flat oyster), 768 nucleotides. RefSeq lists it as uncharacterized. The transcript is spliced from 2 exons. The record is from RefSeq and is a predicted model, not a curated record. NCBI's taxonomy places the organism in Eukaryota, Metazoa, Mollusca, Bivalvia, Ostreida, Ostreidae.
UGCUUUUUACUCAGUAAAUACUAAUAAUUCUUAAUGUGUAUAACCAUAGUUUAUUUACAACAAACUUUUACUUAUAUAAUAAUUUUCUAAUUUAAUCUAUCCUUAUCCAGUGAACAUUUUGUACAGGCUAAAUAUGAAUUAAGGGAUGGGUAAACACUGCUUUUUAAAUAUUAAAAGUUAAAUUAAUAUCUAUUUAAGUUAAGAUAUUGGGAUAUACACCAAACCUAUUAAAAAGAAGAUGCAGUAACUAAAAUAUUUUAUGGCAGCAAGCCUAAGAAAAUAAGAGAAAAUAGCUCAAAAAGAUUAGGAAAAGCAUGAUACAUGUAAUACUUUCAAAAAUCAUCACAGCACUAGCACAUUUUGUAUUAUACUAUUGUUUUUAAAGAAAUUGAAAAUGUACAAGUAAACAAAUGAAGUAUAGUAUAUAUGAAGUAUAGUAUAUAUGAAGUAAGUAUAUAUAAUUAAUUAGUCAUUAUUUUUCAGCUAAUCCAUUUUCUUUUGGAAACCAAUGAAAACUCGUAUGCAGAACCUAUUGACCAACCUGGACUAUCAGCAUCUAAGGAAACAGCUCAAUGAAGACAUGAAUAGUGACAAAAAUAUCCCACUCUCAAUCCAUAUUGAAGAAUAAAUCAACUUUGUGCAACAUAUACAGAUAGAAUUGCCCAGUCAUUGUCCAUCAUAUGUGCUAAGGAAUGUUCAAGUGAAGAAUGAAGAAGUGAAAAUAAUGAACAAUUCUGUAUAAAGAAUACAAAAUUAAAAGUUUAAGAA